CUAGAUAAUGUCGGCAGCCCUUCUCUUUGAGAACCACUUUUAAUGAUUUAUUUUCCCCCUUAGUACCGAGCCACUGCACUGCCAGCAUUCAAGUACUACGUGACCUGUGCUUGCCUCAUAUUCUUCUGCAUCUUUAUUGUGCAGAUUCUCGUGUUGCCAAAAACUCCCACCCUCGGCAUCUCCUUUGGAGUUGCGUCGCUCUCACUUGCCUUCAUCCUCUUCGUCUGCUCCGCUGGACAGCUUUUGGUAGGUACCUCAAAUAUGGAAUUUCUUUGAAAAGCGUGUGAAUAAAAAGAAGGCUGAUUCUUGAUUAAAACAUUCAAAAGCUGGCAGUUUUUUGAUUUAUCAUUUCAGGAGACACUGAGCUCAGUAAAGAAACAGGAAAUCUUCACGCUUAUAGACCUAGAUAUCAACCGAGGCAGCCCAU
Molecule: long non-coding RNA, 427 nt
Filed under: Dasypus novemcinctus (nine-banded armadillo)
Lineage: Eukaryota; Metazoa; Chordata; Mammalia; Cingulata; Dasypodidae
Description: lncRNA (ENSDNOG00000051857.1)
Source: RNAcentral